ACGGAAUAGAUACCCGGGUAGUCCACGCUGUAAACGAUGAGUGCUAGAUGCCGGAUUUUUUCGGUGUCGCAGCUAAACGCAUUAAGCACUCCACCUGGGAAGUACGAUCGCAAGGUUGAAACUCAAAGGAAUUGACGGGGGCCCGCACAAGCAGUGGAGCAUGUGGUUUAAUUCGAUGCAACGCGAAGAACCUUACCUAGGCUUGAAAAGCUUAUGACCGGCUGUGAAAGCAGCUUUCCCGCAAGGGCAUAAGUACAGGUGCUGCAUGGCUGUCGUCAGCUCGUGCCGUGAGGUGUUGGGUUAAGUCCCGCAACGAGCGCAACCCUUACCAUUAGUUGCCACCGGAGCAAUCCGAGCACUCUAAUGGAACUGCCUACGCAAGUAGUGAGGAAGGUGAGGAUGACGUCAAGUCCGCAUGGCCCUUACGCCUAGGGCUACACACGUGCUACAAUGGCCGCCACAACGGGCAGCAAAAUCGCGAGAUGGAGCGAAUCCCUAAAAAAGCGGCCUCAGUUCGGAUUGGA
Molecule: ribosomal RNA, 524 nt
Filed under: uncultured bacterium
Lineage: Bacteria
Description: bacterial SSU rRNA
Rfam family: Bacterial small subunit ribosomal RNA
Source: RNAcentral